This 468-nucleotide ribosomal RNA is filed under the name uncultured bacterium. RNAcentral's name for it is "partial 16S ribosomal RNA". It matches the Rfam family "Bacterial small subunit ribosomal RNA", at positions 28 to 507 of the family's 1533-position model. The record is from RNAcentral.
GACGAACGCUGGCGGCGUGCUUAACACAUGCAAGUCGAACGGAAAGGCCCUGCUUUUGUGGGGUGCUCGAGUGGCGAACGGGUGAGUAACACGUGAGUAACCUGCCCUUGACUUUGGGAUAACUUCAGGAAACUGGGGCUAAUACCGGAUAGGAGCUCCUGCUGCAUGGUGGGGGUUGGAAAGUUUCGGCGGUUGGGGAUGGACUCGCGGCUUAUCAGCUUGUGGGUGGGGUAGUGGCUUACCAAGGCUUUGACGGGUAGCCGGCCUGAGAGGGUGACCGGCCACAUGGGGACUGAGAUACGGCCCAGACUCCUACGGGAGGCAGCAGUGGGGAAUAGUGCACAAUGGGCGGAAGCCUGAUGCAGCAACGCCGCGUGCGGGAUGACGGCCUUCGGGUUGUAAACCGCUUUCGCCUGUGACGAAGCGUGAGUGACGGUAAUGGGUAAAGAAGCACCGGCUAACUACGUG